AGUGAACGCUGGCGGUAGGCCUAACACAUGCAAGUCGAACGGCAGCACAGUAAUAGCUUGCUCUUACGGGUGGCGAGUGGCGGACGGGUGAGGAAUACAUCCGAAUCUACUUUUUCGUGGGGGAUAACGUAGGGAAACCUACGCUAAUACCGCAUACGACCUACGGGUGAAAGCAGGGGAUCUUCGGACCUUGCGCGAUUGAAUUAGCCGAUGAGGGAUUGGUUAGUUGGGGGGGUAACGGCCCACCAGGGCGACGAUCCGUAGCUGGUCUGAGAGGAUGAUCGGCCGCAUUGGAAGGGAGCCAGGGUCCAGACUCCUGCGGGAGGCAGCAGUGGGGAAUGGUGGACAAUGGGCGCAAGCCUGAUCCAGCCAUACCGCGUGGGUGAAGAAGGCGUUCGGGUUGUAAAGCCCGUUUGUGGGGAAAGAAAAGCAGCAGGUUAAUACGCCGCUGUUCUGACGGUACCCAAAGAAUAAGCACCGGCUAACUUCGUG
Molecule: ribosomal RNA, 492 nt
Filed under: uncultured bacterium
Lineage: Bacteria
Description: partial 16S ribosomal RNA
Rfam family: Bacterial small subunit ribosomal RNA
Source: RNAcentral